RNAcentral lists this ribosomal RNA (279 nucleotides) under Triticum aestivum (bread wheat). RNAcentral's name for it is "partial small subunit ribosomal RNA". The record is from RNAcentral. Lineage: Eukaryota; Viridiplantae; Streptophyta; Magnoliopsida; Poales; Poaceae.
GCAGAGGUAAAGCAUGUUCCUGAAGAUCCACUUAGUUUAAUUCUCAAAGAUGGGUUCAAACUUGUGGCCGAUGCGCUUGUGAAGUCUAGUGGAGAUGAUGAUGACAUACCAGAUGACCUUUGGGAUGUAGUCUCCACAUUUCCAGAUUUUAAUGAAGAGCACGUAGCCCACUACUAUGCGCAUCUUGUGGACAACCCAAAGACCGCAAGAGCCUUCAUGAAACUUUCCCAAACCAACAAGUCUGUUUGGGUGAGUAGGUAUAUCAAGAAGAACUUCUAA